Molecule: transfer RNA, 69 nt
Filed under: Ictidomys tridecemlineatus (thirteen-lined ground squirrel)
Lineage: Eukaryota; Metazoa; Chordata; Mammalia; Rodentia; Sciuridae
Description: Spermophilus tridecemlineatus (thirteen-lined ground squirrel) tRNA
Rfam family: tRNA
About the family: Transfer RNA (tRNA) molecules are approximately 80 nucleotides in length. Their secondary structure includes four short double-helical elements and three loops (D, anti-codon, and T loops).
Source: Rfam by way of RNAcentral
GGGGUUGUAGCUCAAUGGUAGAGCACUCGCCUCGAACGUGCGAAGCCCUGAGUUUGAUCCUCAGCACCA